Molecule: ribosomal RNA, 413 nt
Filed under: uncultured bacterium
Lineage: Bacteria
Description: bacterial SSU rRNA
Rfam family: Bacterial small subunit ribosomal RNA
Source: RNAcentral
GUUGAACGCUGGCGGCAUGCUUUACACAUGCAAGUCGAGCGGCAGCGCGGGGGCAACCCUGGCGGCGAGCGGCGAACGGGUGAGGAAUACAUCGGAACGUACCCCGGAGUGGGGGAUAACGCCGCGAAAGCGGCGCUAAUACCGCAUAUGCUCUGAGGAGGAAAGUGGGGGAUUCGCAAGAACCUCACGCUCUGGGAGCGGCCGAUGUCCGAUUAGCUUGUUGGUGAGGUAAUGGCUCACCAAGGCGACGAUCGGUAGCUGGUCUGAGAGGAUGAUCAGCCACACUGGGACUGAGACACGGCCCCAGACUCCUACGGGAGGCAGCAGUGGGGAAUUUUUGGACAAUGGGGGCAACCCUGAUCCAGCCAUGCCGCGUGCGGGAAGAAGGGCCUUCGGGUUGUAAACCGCUUUUU